AUCUGCGCUCGGACCUGCAUGGUUCCCGGAAGCUUCCCCACCCGUGCUUUGCCGCUCCCUGGGGCUCGAGGGGCCGGGUGCAGAGGGGCUGUCCAGUUCCCCCAACACGGGCACAGUAUCCCGCGCUUAUCGUGUGUGCCAACCUGGAUGAAAGCGCGUUGUGGAGACCCUGCUUACAGGAAAAUUAAGUUGGAAGUGUGACCAGACAGAGCUUACAGCAGUCUUUGCCCCUGUUGGACUGUCUCCAGUUGGUGUGGCCAGAAUGGAGUUGGCGGUCACUACUUGCUGAAUCUGGUAAAUUGAUAGAGAAUCUCCUCAGUUUCAGGAGGUCCCAUUUAUUAAUUGUCGAUCUCAGUGUCUGUGCUAC
Mesocricetus auratus (golden hamster) is the source of this 367-nucleotide long non-coding RNA. RefSeq lists it as uncharacterized. NCBI's taxonomy places the organism in Eukaryota, Metazoa, Chordata, Mammalia, Rodentia, Cricetidae. The record is from RefSeq and is a predicted model, not a curated record. The transcript is spliced from 3 exons.